GAUGAAGAACGUAGCGAAAUGCGAUACGUAAUGUGAAUUGCAGAUUUCAGUGAAUCAUCGAAUCUUUGAACGCACAUUGCGCCCGCUAGUAUUCUGGCGGGCAUGCCUGUUCGAGCGUCAUUUCAACCAUCAAGCCCUAGGCUUGCGUUGGGGCCCUGCGGCUGCCGCAGGCUCCCAAAUCCAGUGGCGGGCUCGUCGUCGUACCGAGUGCAGUAAACAUCCUCGCUCAGGGAACGUGACGGGUUCUUGCCGUGAAACCCCCCACAUAUCAAGGUUGACCUCGGAUCAGGUAGGAAUACCCGCUGAACUUAAGCAUAUCAAUAAGCGGAGGA
This 332-nucleotide unclassified non-coding RNA is filed under the name soil metagenome. RNAcentral describes it as "partial contains 5.8S ribosomal RNA, internal transcribed spacer 2, and large subunit ribosomal RNA". The stretch from base 1 to 120 matches the Rfam family "5.8S ribosomal RNA", at positions 35 to 154 of the family's 154-position model. The record is from RNAcentral.